This 3086-nucleotide long non-coding RNA is filed under the name Theobroma cacao (cacao). Its description in RNAcentral is "long non-coding RNA (TCAC_LNC004417)". The record is from RNAcentral. Lineage: Eukaryota; Viridiplantae; Streptophyta; Magnoliopsida; Malvales; Malvaceae.
GGUAACUAGGACGAGGUGUCCUUGUAGACUUGUAUCCAUCUUUUGGUAAGUGUCUCGGCAUUCAGUAGUUGUACAUUCGUUAGAGUCCCUCCGCUGAAAGUCGAGUAUUCUUUUGUUGUGUAUAGACAAGCCUAAUGCAAAUUAUUAAGAUACAUGUUGUAGAUAAUGUAUAUACACUUGUUCAGUAUGCUAGUAUGAGGUGGCAAUGUUUAACAUUAUUUUGAUUCUAAGUUAUGAAUUAUGACUUAGCAGUUUAUGAUGGAAUAAUGAACAUGUCAGAUUAAUAGGCUUCCUUGGGCUUAAUGGACUAUGUCUAUUGGGCCCUUACACCGGUCAUGGCCCCGAAAUUUGGGUCGUGACACUUCACUUCUUUACACAUUCUUCUUUGAUUUUAUUUGGACAUUUUGAUGCUGACUGGGAAAGUUAUCCUACAAAUCAUUUCUCAACCACUAGUUAUUGUUUCUUUUUGAGUAAUUCUCUCACUUCUUGGUGAAGCAAGAAACAAGCUAUAACUACCUGUUUUAGCACGAGUCUAAACAUCAUGCUCUACAGAUGCUGUUUCAAAGUUACUUUGGCUUCGUCGAUUAUUGGAGGAUAGGGGAUUUGUCCAAUCUUCUACCAAUAUCCUUCCCUACGAUAACCACAAUGCUAUCCAUAUUGCUCACAACAAUUUGUUUCAUGAAUGCACCAUGCAUAUUGAGAUUAAUUAUCAUUUUGUGCAUCAUCAGAUGACUUAGGGGACUUUUCAUAAGACUUAUUUAAAUCAAAUUGUUUAUUGAUAUCUUUACCAAGACUCAUCUUUCUAGUCGAUUCCAAGAGUUAGUUUUCAAAUUCAAGUUGGCAUUUCCUGAAACCACCUUGAGUUUGAAGAAGAUGUUACGAUACUUAUACAAAUUAUCUAGUUAUAUUUAAGAUAAUUAUACAAAUUAAUUCUACCGAGUCGAAUUCAUGUCAAUUGUUAUAGUUAAAUUAAAAUUUAAAAUAAACAUAAUGUAUUAUAUUUAAUUAAUAAUUUUAUAUCAUUUUGAGUUUUGAUCAAUUUAAAAUUGGUUUGUGUUGGGUUAAUUCACAUUGAUUUGCAUAAUGGUCUUUUUAAUUUAUGAGUUGGUUAAUCGGUUUUAAAUUGCUGACUUUUACAGUCAAAUUGGAUUAAGUUGGAUUUAGAUUCAAAUGAGUUGGAUGUAGUUUUUUAAGUGAAGUUAGUCUUGUCAACUAUACACUCUGACAAGAUAGAUUGUUUUUAUACUAAUCCAAUUAUAUAAGAUCUUUAAUAAAGAACAAAGGACAAAUCAUGUUUAGAAAAAAAAAAAGAGACAAUCGAAAGCAUGUUAAGCUUAAGUAUUCCUAAGGGUUUUUUUUUUGUAUUUUUUCAUUUAAAAUAAUUGAAAAAAUUCUAUAAAAUAUUACAACUAGAGGUGUUAAUUAGUUGAGCUACCUACCCAUGCCUAUAGGCUAGUUGAUCAUAUUAUUUUAUAUUUUAGAUAUUUUUAGGGGAUUUAAAAAGGUGAAUGGAGGCAAUGGACCCCUUUUAUUUAAUUUUUUUGAAAUUUAGAGAUUCAUUGAAAUUUAGAGAUUCAUUGUUAAAAUAUGUUUUAAAUUAAUAUUUUGUGAUAUUUAUUUAAUUUUAAAUAUCACUAUACAAAAUAUUAUGUACUAUAUAAGCCAAACUCUGGGCCGAAAACACUUUUAUGUCUCAGCCCAAGUUUAAAUAUCACUAUGCAAAAUAUUACGUACAAUAAAAAAUAUUAAACUUUCUGUUAAUGCCUCACUUCUUCUCUUUCCUUUAAGGCCUUAACACCUCACUUCCUUUUUUUCCUUUAAUGCUGGUUUCUCAAUCCUCAAGAAAGCACAGAUAUUUAGUAAGCAUUUAUUUAUUUUAGUUAAUUUGUUCGUAUUAUUUCUUUGCGUCAUUUUAUUUUAGGGUAUUUAACAAUCUACUAUAUCAUUUUCUAUAUUAUUACUUUUCUUUUUCUCUUCUUGAGAGUUUUAAUUCCAUAUUCUAUCUAGGUUUUUUUUCUUUUUCUUUAAUAAGAAAUGUUAGAUUUAAAACUUAAAUUUCCAUGAUUGUUUCAUAUUUUUAGUUCUAAUCUAUGCUAUGGUAAUCUUUGUUUAAUUGUUUAUAAUUAUUUUCAUUUUUAUAAUACAUUAGGCAUGGAUAAGUAUUUUACAAGAACUAAACAUGCUCGAACCGAAUCUCAAAAUAAUCAAAACCAAGGGUCUAGUUGUGUUCCUAUAGAAGAAGCCAACCAAAGUGCCCCUAUCCAAGAAGAACCUAAUCAAAGUGUCCCAGAACAAGUUAUGGCUGAUCCUGGUCUAAUACCUUAUAUUUUUAGUAUUGCUCAUAAUGCUAAUGAGAGAGAACAUCCGAAAAGCAUAUUUGAUCAAGGGCUGAACUCAACCAACGCUAAGGAACGGCUGUAUCUAAAGGCUGCAACGAAAUUAUAACCUAGAAAUAGAAAUAAUGCGAACGGCAUUAUCAUACUCCCGAGGUACACCUUUAGAGUUCAGUUCACGCCAAAACACCACGUGAGGGUGAACUCAGCCAACGCCAAGGAACGACUAUGUUUUCAAAAUAAAAACAUGAUUUAUGCAUACAUGACUUUUUAACAGCCUUGGCGAACUCGGUUGGGAUAGCCCCAGGCCAAGGUUUCCCUGAUAACUGAGUAUGAUAAUGAUUUUUGGCACGAGCCAAGCUUUUCAGGAAAUCAUAAGCCUCGUUGUUUAUUUGGGUGAAAUGAAUCUAUUUUAUCUUAUUAAAAUGAGUUCAAAAUGCUGUGAAUCAUUUUUAUGCUAAUCUAUUUUAUCUGUCUUCAUUUACUCAGUUUUAGAUAUUUUAGAUGAUAUUUGUUUACUCACUGGGAUUAUAUAAUCUCACCACCCUCCUUUUCACCCCUUUCAGGCUCAGGAUAAUCGGUAGAUAACUCAUUUCGUUGAGGGCUACAGUUGGACUUGCAUCCUAAAAAACUGUAAGUUUACUGUUUUUUAUACUUUUGGUCGUUCGUGGGCCCUCGUGUCACUGUAAAUUAAAUCUUAUGCUUUGGUUAUUUGUAUUACAGUAUGUAUGAAUUUAUUUAGCUUUUACGCUA